GCACCGCUGACCAGUUCCAAAUAGGGCGAAACAGCUGUCCAGUGC
Molecule: non-coding RNA, 45 nt
Filed under: Echinostoma caproni
Lineage: Eukaryota; Metazoa; Platyhelminthes; Trematoda; Plagiorchiida; Echinostomatidae
Source: RNAcentral